GGACAAGUAAGUUUUGGGUGAAGCAGGAACCUCCAAGUCCCUGGUUUAGAGUCUUCUUGGAGUCUUCAAGCACUGAACAAAAGCAGUCAUUGUUUGGAAGAACCAAGAUGAAAGGCAUGAAACUUAAGCAAAAUAUGGGAAAGUAAAUGAUGAAGAAUCACAGAAGGAAAAGAAGGUCUGUGUCUUCUCCAAUGGCUCAUUUGUGAAAAGUCUCCUGUUCAGGAGAUGCGAGUUCAAU
This 238-nucleotide long non-coding RNA is filed under the name Capra hircus (goat). RNAcentral describes it as "lncRNA (ENSCHIG00000006100.1)". Lineage: Eukaryota; Metazoa; Chordata; Mammalia; Artiodactyla; Bovidae. The record is from RNAcentral.